RNAcentral lists this ribosomal RNA (443 nucleotides) under uncultured bacterium. Its description in RNAcentral is "SSU rRNA". It matches the Rfam family "Bacterial small subunit ribosomal RNA", at positions 26 to 518 of the family's 1533-position model. The record is from RNAcentral.
AGAACGAACGCUGGCGGCAGGCUUAACACAUGCAAGUCGAGCGCCCCGCAAGGGGAGCGGCAGACGGGUGAGUAACGCGUGGGAACAUACCCUCCGGUUCGGAAUAGCUCAGGGAAACUUGGAUUAAUACCGGAUACGGCCUAGCGGCGAAAGAUUCAUCGCCGGAGGAUUGGCCCGCGUUCGAUUAGCUAGUUGGUGAGGUAACGGCUCACCAAGGCGACGAUCGAUAGCUGGUCUGAGAGGAUGAUCAGCCACAUUGGGACUGAGACACGGCCCAAACUCCUACGGGAGGCAGCAGUGGGGAAUAUGGACAAUGGGCGCAAGCCUGAUCCAGCCAUGCCGCGUGAGUGAUGACGGCCUUAGGGUUGUAAAGCUCUUUCGCUAGGGACGAUAAUGACGGUACCCGUAGAAGAAGCCCCGGCUAACUUCGUGCCAGCAGCCGC